RNAcentral lists this ribosomal RNA (508 nucleotides) under uncultured bacterium. RNAcentral describes it as "partial 16S ribosomal RNA". It matches the Rfam family "Bacterial small subunit ribosomal RNA", at positions 28 to 507 of the family's 1533-position model. The record is from RNAcentral.
GACGAACGCUGGCGGCGUGCCUAAUACAUGCAAGUCGAACGCUUCUUUCCUCCCGAGUGCUUGCACUCAAUUGGAAAGAGGAGUGGCGGACGGGUGAGUAACACGUGGGUAACCUACCCAUCAGAGGGGGAUAACACUUGGAAACAGGUGCUAAUACCGCAUAACAGUUUAUGCCGCAUGGCAUACGAGUGAAAGGCGCUUUCGGGCGUCGCUGAUGGAUGGACCCGCGGUGCAUUAGCUAGUUGGUGAGGUAACGGCUCACCAAGGCCACGAUGCAUAGCCGACCUGAGAUGGUGAUCAGCCACACUGGGACUGAGACACGGCACAGACGCCUACGGGAGGCAGCAGUAGGGAAUCUUCGGCAAGGGACGAAAGUCUGACCGAGCAACGCCGCGUGAGUGAAGAAGGUUUUCGGAUCGUAAAACUCUGUUGUUAGAGAAGAACAAGGACGUUAGUAACUGAACGUCCCCUGACGGUAUCUAACCAGAAAGCCACGGCUAACUACGUG